UAGUGGGCAGUGUUGUCACAAAGUUUCUUUGAAAAGCUGACUUAGAUGGUGCUGUACCUCUGAGGGCAUUAGAAGUGUGUAUGAUCUAAAGAGAAUAAAACAGUAUUACAGAAAACUCAUUUGUAUUUAUGUAAACCAAAUGCUCCGUCGGUCUAGACUGGAAUCCCUAGGGCUCCCUCAAAUCCUUGCAGGAUUCCUGGAGUACUAAGGUGGGAAUCAAGAUAAAGAAUCCUAGUAGCUUUCUCUAAGGAAAAGCACCAUCUCAGCAGGGGUAGGGAUUAGGGGUGUUCUCCAAACACUGGAGAAAUGUGGGCAAAAUGACCAAGCUGGCUAAGGUUUUGGGGGGCUCAGUCUUGCAUUCUCCUACCUCUGUCUCAGAUCGUGUGGGCGACUCCAGAUUUAAGUUUCUCCACAUGCUAAAAAUCAACUUCGACCUUAAAAGACACUGUACAAUACAGAGGUGACUAAUUACAGAAUAACUUUUUGAAGCAUGGCUUAUUUAAUUACAUUUUGUAGAGGGCUGAAGGUAUGAUCGAUAAGCAAGCUGGGGCCAUGGUAAGCCGAGUGUAACUCACCAAGAC
This 581-nucleotide long non-coding RNA is filed under the name Bos taurus (domestic cattle). RNAcentral describes it as "long non-coding RNA NONBTAT008952". The record is from RNAcentral. Lineage: Eukaryota; Metazoa; Chordata; Mammalia; Artiodactyla; Bovidae.